UUCAUCCUGAGACGUGUGUGAGGACCCAGAACCCGGGUUAGAACCCCAGUGUGGGUCCUCACAGAAACGGAAGGACCGAUCUAUCCGCUCCACCUUAAAUCUGCACGCGUCGGUGUCACGUGACCAUGUUCUUAGAAAGUUCUUGGAAACCUGGUGUUGUUUAUGGAGAUCUGGAUCAUGCUCCACACUCGUUGCCAGGUUCACGGACUGGUGCGGCUACUGCAGAGCUUCGUGACGAAUUGACGGAUCUGAUCCACGAACAGACCUGCGUGGCUUUCCUUCACCCGCCAUUAGUGAUUCUAGGAAGAAGCCGGAGCCAGGAGCGAACCCAUCCGGUCCGAUCCGAUCCUGCGGUUCGUGGAGGAGAAAUCACAGCUUUUAAAGAGCGGCUGGACUCGGAACCUCCCCAGUCAGUUGGGUCCACUUCGAUCCGCAUGUCACCUUCCGGUAGCAUGAAGACGGGUUUUCAGGUUUUGCUGUUUUCCUGCAUGUCCGAGCUGUAGGCUGAAGAUUGGAUCUGUCCGAUGACCUGCCAGUCCUCUGAAUCCCCCGAAGCCAUUGAGGAUGACAGAAGAGCCGACGACGGCGCCAGAACCGAGGAGUCGGAUGAGAGCCGCGUUGCCUGGGCCAUGAAGGAGCUCAGGAAAACAGGUUGGUACUGGGGCAGCUUGACUGCUAACGAGGCCAAAGAGAUCCUGCAGGACUCCUCGGAGGGCACCUUCCUGCUCCGGGAUAGCUCUCAGGUGGAUUACCUGUUCACCAUCUCCACCAUGACGUCGGCAGGUCCCACCAACCUGCGGAUCGAGUUCAGACACGGAAAGUUCAAGCUGGACUCUGUGGUCCUGGUCAAGCCCAAGCUGAAGCAGUUCGACAGCGUGGUGCACCUGGUGGAGCACUACGUCCAGCUGUCCAGGACCACCAGCAAGGCCACCACGGCGACGGCGGGUCCCAAUGGCACCGUGCAGCUGCUCCUCACUAAACCCGUGUACACCACCACGCCAUCGCUGCAGCACCUCUGUCGCAUCAUCAUCAACAGGACGGCUCAGAGCGUCCAGGAUCUGCCCAUCCCCAGCCGACUGAAGGACUACAUGACAGACUACACCUACAACUUGUAGAGGACAUUUCGUCACACUUCAGCAGCACAUCCAGACCAUCCGUGUGUUUCUGCAUGGAAGCAGGAAACAAUCCGACGCCUGGUUUCCUCUUUCAUCUCCACGAUAACGAGGCAGAAUUCCUCUUAAUAUUCUGGAGGUUCCUCAACAAGUUUCCAGAUUCCUGACAUCUGAUCAGGAAAACUGAUGGAUGGAUCGAUUGUUGGAGCUUUAACUGAAACCCAUAGGGACUCUGCAGAUGCAGGUGUCAGGUUGAGGGUUGGAGCAGCAGGUCCAGGUGAGGCUGUCAGAUUCCCAGAUCCUCGCUGCUGAGAGCUUCCAGAUUGGGUGUAAAAUAUUUAUUUACGUUCAUUAAAAUGUUCCACUGAUUGAGGAUCGUUUAAUGUCCUUACCAAGAUCUCCUCUGCAGAAUUUAGACAGAGAGACGUCUCCUGAUGAUCUAAAGAUCUAAAGAAACCAGUUGGCUCACUGGACACGUCUCUGUCUCUGCUGUCUCUGUACCUGCUGACUGUCUCCUACAGUAUUAUUUGCCUUCAUCAGUGUUCAGUUCAUCAUCUCAGCUCCAAAUUCAGCCUCAGCCUGACUAGCACCACGGUUCAUCAAACUGGGACUCAGCAGAACCAUCCAGCUGAUUUAUUACUGUUCAGGACUUGUAAGGUCAUGUAAAUAUGUAAAGCUGAUUGUGUGCAACUCUGAGGAUCAACUGAUUGAAAAACUGUUUCUGAUCCUGCAUCCCAUAAUUCCUUCAGUAAAGUUUAUGACCAGACCUGAACCUGAACUUUAACCUGAACUUAAACUUAAACCUGAACCUCAAGGUUUUUCAUCCCACUCGGGCCCCUGGUAAACAGCAGGAAUGAAGCUCUCUGAUUGGCCGAUGGAUGGCCGUGACUCAUCGUCAGGCUGUCAGUGACAUACACAGACGUCCUCUGAUGUGUCGAUGCUGACAAACUUCAGACUCAUGGAUUGAGUGAAGAGGUCAGUUUAACCUGUCCAGGCUUCUGUAGACUUUGAACUUGUCAUAGUGUGCAGCUCUAAGCCAAACAGAUUACAGGAAAACAUCAUCCAUUACAGCUGUUGUUGUCUGUUCCUGCUGGGUUGUUGUGGACAGUGGACCUUGGGACCUUUUUCAGAACUUGAUUUGAUUUAAAUCCUGUUUUCUAAAGAAUUUAACGAUUUAAUUCAAGUUUCAUCUAAAAACUGAAAUUCAGUUCCUUCUGAAGGCAACUUUAGAAACCAGUUUUACAGAGAAAACCUCUCAUGUUGGGGAAAAACCAAAAUCAUACACGCUAGUUGAAUUCAUGAACUUUAAAGAAAGGUUUUUAAAAUUUGAAAUCAUUGGCGGACCUUUUUAAGCUGACGAUGGAAAAAGUGGAUCAUAAUGACGAGUUUUAUGCUGCUGGUGUUUGGAUGACUCGGGUUCACGUCUGUUUCCAUCAGAAGUUUUCUGGUGGUGUUGGAAGGACAGGCUUCCUGUCGCUCACUAUCUCUGUUUUAUUACUUUAUUUUUUUAAAUGUACAGAUGAAAAGAUUUAUAUCCAGUGCAGUCUUUUGAUGGCCUACUGAAGAUGAGUGGUUUUAGAGUUAGUGAUAAACUGAUCCAACUACCUGAAAAAUGAAUGAUACCUAGCUCAUACAAGAAAAACAAAAGGGGCCAAGAAUCCAACCUUGAGGGGCACCACAGGUAACUGUUGACAAAGCAGAGCUGGAAGUUCUGAAGGGAAACCAUAAAAGAUUCUACAGCUUAUUUAAGAUCCAAAAGAGUCCAGAACAGGGUUGUUUAUGUUGACCCAGUGUGUAAGGUUAGCAUGUGAUUGGCUGGUCGGUACAGCAGCAAGAUUCUCCCUUAUAUCCAAUAAGAUGAUCAAAGUUAAAAUAAGAUAAAAGUUGUGAUGGUUUGUGAGACACCGCUGAUCUAAAAGCUGUUUAAAUUAUUUUUCUUCAGGAAAAUAUAAACUUUUAAAAUAAAGUUCAUUAAACUUGUUUUAAAUCUUACAGAAACAGCUGGUAACCUUCAUGUCAUCACAAGUGAAGACUUGAUGGGUUAUAAAGUGUUGGAUGAGUUCUCCACAAACAUCAGGGAGCUACAGCUCUCUGCCUGCUGGAGGUUUUCAGAUCUUCUCUGAUGGUGCCACUUUGUGUUUCCUGCCCUGGGUCUGUAAAGAGGCUGAUGAGCCUCUGGAAACAAAUCAGUUCUGAACAUUUACAUGGUGCGUCAGCAUGUUCCACUAUCAGCUUCAUCCCACAUGUUUAUUAAACAACUGGGUGCUCUUUUCCGCUUUGCUCCAUUUCUGCAACAUCUGGAAUAUUGUUCCAUCUGAUCCAUGUUCCCACUGUGUGAUGGUCAAUUCCACAAGCUUCUUGGCCCAGAGAACACCUUCUUUUCUGCUCAGUAACAUCUGUGAAGUUAAUUCUGUAUAGUGGGGCUAGACCAAGGUUCUCCAAAGUAAUGCCUGUUCCAUGGGGUUCUACUAGCUGUUGAUGAAUGAUGGUUCUUGAUGCAGAACUGCCUGAAGGAUCAGAGAUUACUGCUGUCCAGUUGCUCCCUGAAAUUCGUCCAGGUUCCUCAAAUGGUUUCUGGGUAUUCUGCUCUGUAGAGAGAAAAACAUAGUAAUUCCUCCCAGUCUUACUUCCAGGAUCAGUUUCUUUCUUAUUUCCGCCUUUUUCUCUAAUUUUUUGCAUCCUGCAAUACAGGACUGGAUUUGGACAAAUUAAAUGAAUCUGACAAACAAAAGAAAUCUUAUGGUUUUAUUUUAUGUGUCGCGAAGGAAAAGCUGAAGGAAAAUGAGUUCAUGAUAAAAAGCAGCUGAUCUUCUUAUUGUUCCUGCAGACAGAUUGCUGAGUGGACUCCUGGAAAACUGCAGCUGCUUCAUCAGGAUAAAUGAUUAUAAGUUUGUCAGACUCCAAACCAAUAUCUGUAACCAUGGUAACCAGUUCAGCUAAUUUUUUAUAGAAAAACUGUUCAAAUAAAUGGACAUGUUCAUAGUGAAUAUAUGACUGGAUCUCUCUUUGUUUGGUUGUAUCAGGAUAAAAACUGUAAUAAAAAUCUAUCUAUGCAUUAA
This is an RNA transcript of Girardinichthys multiradiatus, 4171 nucleotides long. It is a transcript of the gene named suppressor of cytokine signaling 2, with no coding region annotated. The record is from RefSeq and is a predicted model, not a curated record. The transcript has 4 exons. NCBI's taxonomy places the organism in Eukaryota, Metazoa, Chordata, Actinopteri, Cyprinodontiformes, Goodeidae.